Cyprinus carpio carpio is the source of this 368-nucleotide long non-coding RNA. The record is from Ensembl. Lineage: Eukaryota; Metazoa; Chordata; Actinopteri; Cypriniformes; Cyprinidae.
GCUCCCUCUUUUAGUCAGUAUAUACUGCAUGUUUUGUUCUACUCUUUGUCUGAUCUUGUUUGCAUUGAGUCUCAUUUGGAUAUGCAUUUACCUCAGUUAUUUCUCCUGGAUUAUUAAAGUGACUUCCUGAGCUACUCUGAAUCAUGAGUGUUCAUAAUAUUGUGACAAUGACUUAAUUUCCUCCAAGAUCAAGCAACUCCAAGAACAUGAUUUGGAGAAAUGUAGCAUUACAUCACUUGCUCACCAAUGGAUCCUCUGCAGGGAAUGAGUGGCAUCAGAAUGAGAGUCCAAACAGAUAGUUGUCACGAUUCACUGUAGGAGGAACGAUGGAGACACGGAGAAAUGUUCAACAGUCUUUAAUAGUUGCC